UACGGAGGGGGCUAGCGUUGUUCGGAAUCAUUGGGCGUAAAGCGUGCGUAGGCGGCGCGUUAAGACAGGUGUGAAAGCCCCGAGCUUAACUUGGGAAUUGCGCUUGUGACUGGCGUGCUGGAGUGUGGCAGAGGGAGGUGGAAUUCCACGUGUAGCAGUGAAAUGCGUAGAGAUGUGGAGGAACACCGAUGGCGAAGGCAGCCUCCUGGGCCAGCACUGACGCUCAUGCACGAAAGCGUGGGGAGCAAACAGG
This 253-nucleotide ribosomal RNA is filed under the name uncultured bacterium. Its description in RNAcentral is "partial 16S ribosomal RNA". It matches the Rfam family "Bacterial small subunit ribosomal RNA", at positions 524 to 776 of the family's 1533-position model. The record is from RNAcentral.